CAGAGGUUGCAAACGUUGUUCGGAAUUACUGGGCAUAAAGCGCACGUAGGCGGUCCGUUAAGUCAUGUGUGAAAUCCCCCGGCUCAACCGGGGAAUUGCGCCUGAUACUGGCGGGCUAGAGGUCGAUAGGGGUGAGCGGAACUCCAGGUGGAGCGGUGAAAUGCGUAGAUAUCUGGAGGAACACCGGUGGCGAAAGCGGCUCACUGGAUCGAAACUGACGCUGAGGUGCGAAAGCUAGGGUAGCAAACGGGAUUAGAUACCCCGGUAGUCCUAGCCGUAAACGAUGGGCACUGGGCAGGGGAGGUUCCUAUGCCUUCUCUGCCGAAGCUAAUGUGUUAAGUGCCCCGCCUGGGGAGUACGCUCGCAAGGGUA
Molecule: ribosomal RNA, 372 nt
Filed under: uncultured organism
Description: bacterial SSU rRNA
Rfam family: Bacterial small subunit ribosomal RNA
Source: RNAcentral